GACAGAGGGUGCAAACGUUGCUCGGAAUUACUGGGCGUAAAGCGCGUGUAGGCUGCUCUGCAAGUCGGAUGUGAAAGCCCUGGGCUCAACCUAGGAAGUGCAUUCGAAACUGCAGAGCUGGAGUCCUGGAGAGGAAGGCGGAAUUCUCGGUGUAGAGGUGAAAUUCGUAGAUAUCGAGAGGAACACCGGUGGCGAAGGCGGCCUUCUGGACAGUGACUGACGCUGAGACGCGAAAGCGUGGGGAGCAAACAGG
This 253-nucleotide ribosomal RNA is filed under the name uncultured bacterium. Its description in RNAcentral is "partial 16S ribosomal RNA". It matches the Rfam family "Bacterial small subunit ribosomal RNA", at positions 524 to 776 of the family's 1533-position model. The record is from RNAcentral.